AAAGAUUAAGCCAUGCAUGUCUAAGUAUAAACAAUUUUGUACUGUGAAACUGCGAAUGGCUCAUUAUAUCAGUUAUAGUCUACUCGAUAGUACCUUACUACUUGGAUAACCGUAGUAAUUCUAGAGCUAAUACAUGCAUGAAUACCCAACUGCUUGUCGGGCGGGUAGCAUUUAUUAGAUUGAAACCAAUGCAGUCUUCGAGCUGGUAUUGUGUUGAGUCAUAAUAACUGUGCGGAUCGCACUUUGUGCGAUAAAUCGAUUGAGUUUCUGCCCUAUCAGCUUUGGAUGGUAGGAUAUGGGCCUACCAUGGCAU
This 313-nucleotide ribosomal RNA is filed under the name uncultured fungus. RNAcentral describes it as "SSU rRNA". It matches the Rfam family "Eukaryotic small subunit ribosomal RNA", at positions 39 to 352 of the family's 1831-position model. The record is from RNAcentral. Lineage: Eukaryota; Fungi.